UUUCCGUAGGUGAACCUGCGGAAGGAUCAUUAUUGUAUAACCGAGGUGCGAGGGCUGUCGCUGACCCGAAAGGUCGUGCACGCCCGAGUGCCCUCACACACAUCCAUCUCACCCCUAAGUGCACCACCGCGUGGGUCCCCCUUUGGCUUGUUCGGAGGGGGGCUUACGUUUUCACACAAACUUUGUAUGCAGUGUAGAAUGUUUUUUUGUUUUUGCGAUCACGCAAUCAAUACAACUUUCAACAACGGAUCUCUUGGCUCUC
This 262-nucleotide unclassified non-coding RNA is filed under the name plant metagenome. RNAcentral's name for it is "partial contains small subunit ribosomal RNA, internal transcribed spacer 1, and 5.8S ribosomal RNA". The record is from RNAcentral.